AAGUCGUAACAAGGUUUCCGUAGGUGAACCUGCGGAAGGAUCAUUAGUGAAUCGAUAGAGUGCUCGCAAGAGGCUCGUCUUCAUUAUAUCACACACACUAGUGCACUUGAAACACAAUUCAUUGGAGCUUGCUUGGCAACGAGCAGGACCCUUUGGAAAAAUUUAUAACUCCAUUGCUUUAAAAGAGAUGAGAAUGUUAAUCAUAUUAAACGAAAGUACAA
RNAcentral lists this unclassified non-coding RNA (221 nucleotides) under plant metagenome. RNAcentral's name for it is "partial contains small subunit ribosomal RNA and internal transcribed spacer 1". The stretch from base 1 to 46 matches the Rfam family "Eukaryotic small subunit ribosomal RNA", at positions 1786 to 1831 of the family's 1831-position model. The record is from RNAcentral.